UAUAUUUAAGUGUAUUAUGCACUAAAAUUUUUGAAAUUUUAAGAAAUAAAUUUAUAUUUAUUAAAUAUAA
This 70-nucleotide transfer RNA is filed under the name unidentified. Its description in RNAcentral is "Trichagalma acutissimae tRNA-Gln". The record is from RNAcentral.